UGGGUUUUUAUCAUAUAAUGGCCUUGCUUUCGAGUGUACAUGAUAUUGAAAGAACAUAAAGAUUUGAUAUCAUAGAUAGCCAUAUACGCGAUUCAAAUAGUUUUUGACACAAGCGAUACAUUGCAGUUAUGUUAGUACUACAUGGUAAGAUAGGAUGAAAUGUUUGGAUUUGUUGGCAAUUGAUACAUUGUUCUUCCACAAGGAGAGAUUGUGUCCAUCUCUAUCACUCGAUUGGUAGGUCUCAUGGUCUUUGAUGGUUAAAUGGAGCCUCUUGACAACUUCUGCAAGCAUGUUUUCUCCUGUUUAUUUCACCAUGGAUUGGUGACAGCUGAAACACAUAGAAGCAGUAUAGAUUAAUGUCCUGGAAUUUAUCAAGUGAAAUAUAUGACUACACUUUUGAAGAUUCUCUAUGGGCAAUGUAGAAGAUCUAAGUCAGGCUGCUAAACCAACUACAAAAAUAAUAAUAUUUAGGCAAUAUUUCAAGUGAAUGGGUAAGGAAUUAAUAAGAUGGAGAGCUGCACUAUCAUCAUUAACAGAAGGAAAAAGCAUAGACAAUGAAGAAUAUUUGUCUCAGUUCAGAACAUACAUGAACAUGACUAUAGACACACAAGAUUUAUUUUCCACAAUAUGCACAAUUUAAUUUAAAGAAAUCCAUGUUGCUUUAUAGUAGGAAGAACACACCUGCAUUGACAAAAAUACAAAAAUGUAAGAUCCGAGUAAAUAUACAGAUAGGCGACACAAUAAAAUGUAAGGCAUGUCAACAUAGAGCACUGUGUCCAGGAGCAGUUCUUAGGAAUAGCAGUCAAAUACAUCAUAUAGUAAUGGGAUCCAACACAAUCAACCCAUGGUACCUUUUCUACAGAAAAAGCAUAAAAAAAUAUGAUAUAAAUGUUUCUUCUGAUCUUCUCUACCUAAUAUUAUCUGUCUGAUCUUCGUGACUAUGAUCAGUCUGAUAAAAUAUGCAAGCCAUAUGAUUACUACGAAAAGGAUGGACACAAAUUUGUGAGCUUCCUUGUGCACAAAUCAGAAUUCAUGUGUGUGGUUAUCAUUGGUAUACAUAGUGCUGACUGGUCUCUUAUACAGCAAGGUAGACGCAGAAGGCAGAGUAGCCUGUGAAAAUCAAAGUUACUGGGUUGCAGCUUUUUAAAUAACCAUGCUUUGCAACAACAGAAAAAAUCACUUUAAAUCUAUGAGAGAAAAUAAUGUAUUACCGACAGUAUGGAGGGGAGGAUGAAGGAGCAGCUCCCUCACUACCUCCUCUGGCCGCCUCUUCAAUUUCAUAGCCAUUCUCACAACCACUUUGAAAUAUGAAAAGGUUGAAGUACAUAAUAAUAUAGGAAAAAUAUUUUGCAGCCAUUAUCCCGAGGUGCACUCUUUUGACAAUGAUAAAUAUUAACCAUAUAUUGGAUAAUGAAAAGUACAACACAUAAGCAUACACUCCUUAUCACCAACAAUAUUUAUCAUUAGCCCCCAAAAAAGUCUCAAAUCUCAUGUGCGUGACUUAGAGCCAUGAUACAUACCUACGGACAAGUGAAUAAUUAAUAGGCUAUGCCUACGAAGAACAAACAAUAAUAAAACAACAUCUGACAUGGUAGAUUGGUAAAGAAUAGAAACAAUUACCCCUGUGAAAUAUUUUUGUAGCACUUAAUGCUUCAUGACACGGCAGGAGUAUCUAUCAUUGGUGUCACAUGCCUCAGAGCCAUCCACAACUUGAUGGAACAUUCACAAUGUACCAACAUGAUGAGAGCCUGUAUUACAUACAUCUAGCAUUAUUCACCAGUUGCGAAAAUGGAUACCAAAGAACAGCCAACUUAUCAAAUUUGUUGAAAAGUAAUCCAGAAAUUGAUGCCUAAUGAUCAGACUCAGGCCUCAGUACAAACAACGCCGUAUCGUUUUCUACCUCCAAAAGUAGUAUAUAUGUUUCAGUGGAAACCACAGAAGCUCCAGCAGCAAUAAAUAAAAUAAGGGGAACCAAAUAAAGAGGCAUUCCUCUGACGAGUUAACAUACCUCAACACACAUUCCCCGGAUCUCUCCUCUCGGAUAGAGACCAGCCGAAUUUGUCCCAUCGGAUGCCACCAGUAUCUGAUCAAGACCAGCAGUGACAGAAAAGAACCAAUUAUAACAAUGACAAAUCAUUGAGCUAGCAGACAAAAAUGAAGGAGCCAGUAAAAUGAACAAUCAAAAUGUACAGAGAGCUAAGAUGCUAUAGGAUGGAGGCGACUACGAUACUAUGCCCAAAUUUUGUUAUUUAUAUUGGCCUAAUUAUUUGACGCGGAUCUUUGAUGUAGCUCUGCAUUCAAACUGCUAGUCUGCGGCAACAGAAACUGAAACUAAAAAGAUCAGAAAUAAGGGGACAAAUAUUGUACAAACCAGCGAAUAGCUUCUUGAACCAAGCUUUAUAUUGACAGCAUUAAUCUUGACGCGUG
Molecule: long non-coding RNA, 2427 nt
Filed under: Triticum aestivum (bread wheat)
Lineage: Eukaryota; Viridiplantae; Streptophyta; Magnoliopsida; Poales; Poaceae
Description: long non-coding RNA (TAES_LNC009587)
Source: RNAcentral